UCACCAUCCAGAGCGACCGAGAGACCUUGGCUCUACGACGUCGCAGCAACCCCCUUUCUCACCGAAGGUGUGGGUGCUACCGCCAGGACCGAUGGAGG
This 98-nucleotide non-coding RNA is filed under the name Rhodococcoides fascians. RNAcentral describes it as "Rhodococcus fascians SAM-I sequence". It matches the Rfam family "SAM riboswitch aptamer (S box leader)". Rfam says of the family: The SAM riboswitch is found upstream of a number of genes which code for proteins involved in methionine or cysteine biosynthesis in Gram-positive bacteria. The SAM riboswitch acts at the level of transcription termination control. RNAcentral also lists the same sequence under 1 other name. Lineage: Bacteria; Bacillati; Actinomycetota; Actinomycetes; Mycobacteriales; Nocardiaceae. The record is from RNAcentral.